GGUGUCAGCCGCCGCGGUAAUACCAGCACCCCGAGUGGUCGGGACGAUUAUUGGGCCUAAAGCAUCCGUAGCCGGUCAUGCAAGUCUUCCGUUAAAUCCAGCCGCUCAACGGUUGGGCUGCGGAGGAUACUACGUGGCUAGGAGGCGGGAGAGGCAAGCGGUACUCAGUGGGUAGGGGUAAAAUCCUUUGAUCCAUUGAAGACCACCAGUGGCGAAGGCGGCUUGCCAGAACGCGCUCGACGGUGAGGGAUGAAAGCUGGGGGAGCAAACCGGAUUAGAUACCCGGGUAGUCCCAGCUGUAAACGAUGCAGACUCGGUGAUGGGAUGGCCUCGAGCUAUCCCAGUGCCGCAGGGAAGCCGUUAAGUCUGCCGCCUGGGGAGUACGGUCGCAAGACUGAAACUUAAAGGAAUUGGCGGG
This 418-nucleotide ribosomal RNA is filed under the name uncultured archaeon. RNAcentral describes it as "bacterial SSU rRNA". It matches the Rfam family "Archaeal small subunit ribosomal RNA", at positions 454 to 872 of the family's 1478-position model. The record is from RNAcentral.